CAUUCACUUUGCUCCUGCAAAGGCCUGACCCAGAAAAGAAGUUUGAAUAUUUUAUGCUACCGGAAAUAAGACUUGCUUACAUUUGUUAUAUAUUCCUUGAUAGGCAAGGGUUUCAAAGAGCCAGGUCUUUACCUACUUAUUUUUUUAUGGCUUUCUUUUCUUUUUUUUUUUUUUUAUGGCUUUCAUUUUCCCAUUUCUGAUCUUGGAAGACCCCGUUCCUGGUGAUCCCUGAGCUCUUCACACACCGAGAGGAUCUUUCAGAUCUUGUAGUUAGUUGAGGAACUUGGGUAGGCAUCUAAGUCCACCCUUCCUUUCUUCAGUGCGGAUCUUCUAGCCCAGAUCCCUGGUCAAGGUCAUUCGUCAAAUCAAAGGCAAAGUCAGGAGUCAAACUCAGAUGUCCUCCCAGUCGUCUUGGCAGUCCCAUCCCGUGGUGGAGGUUAGAAUGCCACCUGACCGCAGCAUCUGACCUGAGGUAAGCCCUCAACAAGCAUUUGUUGAAUGAAUGAAGGAUGGAAGGAAAUGAAGAACGAAAAGAAGGCCAUAAAUUAAAAGGUGAAUUCCGCACUCUCUUCUCUGGCUGAGGCUAAAUCUUGACCCAGCUCUGCUGUCCUGUCCAGGGCAGUGAGGGGGCACCAUCUCCGUGCGUCCCCUCCGCUGACAUCACCGAAACGACCCUUUCAGGAGGGCACGGGGAACAUGGAAAGUUUGGGGAACAAGUCCAUAUUCAGAGUCAGAAAAAUUCCAGGAAAUCCAGACCCAUGAUUUUAUUAGAUUCAUGUCUAGAAUGAGAAUUAUCAUUGUUGGUGGAAGCGAUGCCCGAGACCGGAAGUACAGCUCCUCUGUUUCUCACUCAAACAUGAACGAUUGGCUUUUCUCUCUUAUGGUGUAUCUAAUUCUAGAGGCAAAGCCUAAACGCUGCAUUUUAUUUUGGUGAUUUUCCUUCAGAUCCAGUCCCUGCAUGGGGUAACGUCUUAUGCCAUGGAUCUCACUUGACCUAACCAGCUGUCAAAACUCAUUUGUCUUCUGUCCCAUUCAGAACCUCCCUGAUUGACCAAAUAAAUUGAUAUGAUGUGAUAAUUCUUGUCUUAGGGGACAUAUUUGAUUUUUAAACACAGGCCUCCUGGGAACAUAAUGCUUUAGCUCAGGAGUUAUGUCUAUUCUGCAAGUGGAGAUUUCUGGCAUUAGAUCAUGUUGGGAGGGAGGUGGGUUUAAAUCACUCCUGUCCUCCAUUUGUCCUACCACCUGGGCGGCCAUAUGUUCUUGCAAAUGCAUGAAGAGGUUGUAUCAGAAAAUCAUCCAUUUAGCAAACAUGAUUGAAGACCUGCUAGGUGCCAGGCACUAUGUUGUCAGGGCCUAAGGCACAGAGAUUAUGUGAAGUCAGGUCUGUACCUUGAGGGAAGAGACAGGCAGCGAUUUGGGUGAUUAAAUCGCACAGUGCUGGGUGCUGGCGGUGGGGAGAGAAGUGGAUGGGCUUCAGGGUUGGAAAGGACGUAGACCACAGCAAUGGUAACUGCCCAAUGCUGAUGGAGUGGGGGAGGGACGGAUUUAGGGUGACUCCCAGUUUUAUUUUGGAAACCAGGCAGUUAGAAUAAAGGGCACUAGGGAGUGUAGUCAUAGGGGGAAUCAGGGUUAACACAAGGUGUGUUUGUGUGUGUGUGUGUGUACAAGAAAAUGUGAGUGUGUUGGCAAGUAGGGAUGGUAUAUUUUCAGUUUAGGGAUGAAUGAAUGACUUUGAGCCUAAAGAAAGGCAAGUCUCGGGAGACCUCACUGUUACCAACCAGGAUUACACUACACAUCACAGUCUUUAUCAUAAUCAUAACAUUUAAAUUAUUAAAAGACCAUGCUUGAUUUUUCUCUUCACCCUUCAGGAGGUUAAAUAUGCAGUUCUUGCAUUUGAAGCUCUUAUGGCUAAGGAAAACCAUAAGGACCCCAGGACAGCUGGGCACAUGCAAAGCCCAAACACGGAGGAACCGGAAACGUGACUGAGACCCAUGGGAGCCCUGCUUGGCCAUGGACAUCACCCAGCAGCAGACCAGGGCUCCCAAACAGGCUGGUGUGCGGUGCGGGUGCUUCUCUCACCCUUCUCAGUCGCUAGAGCCUGACUAUCCUGGAUGGUGGGCCGGUCUACGGACAUCUCCCCUCAUGAAGGAGAGAAGUGAUGAGGCUUCAGAGUUCACCAGGUACCAGGUCCUGCACUGGGACCAUCCAUGCUUGUCUUUAUUGGAAGCCAAGUGCAAAUCUUCACUGUCCCUCAUACAUUCCCAUUUCCAGCUUUAAAGAUUCUUGCCAUGCUAGUCCCUUUUUUUAAAAUUUCACUAACAGCAUUGUCUUCAGAAGGUUUCUGUUACCUGGGAGAUUGAUAAUACUUACAAAUUGAAAAAAUCAAAUUGCAGUUUCUAACUUGUUGGAUAAUUUGCCUAUGAUGCUUGAAAGUAGAAAGUGUGGACUGAAAGACAGGAACCAAAGAAUGAUUCAUUUUGAGUGGGUGACCAGGGCAAAAAUUUCCUCUCUGGAGGAGGCUGCGGCACACAUGGGGUGGGAGAAAGGAAAUCAAUCAAUGAAUCAGCUUAGGGGCUGAUUACGUCCCCCUCCAAAUUCAUAUGUUGAAGUCCUAAUCCCCAG
Molecule: non-coding RNA, 2622 nt
Organism: Leptonychotes weddellii (Weddell seal)
Lineage: Eukaryota; Metazoa; Chordata; Mammalia; Carnivora; Phocidae
Source: RefSeq, a predicted model, not a curated record